UACGUAGGGGGCAAGCGUUGUCCGGAUUUAUUGGGCGUAAAGAGCGUGUAGGCGGCCCGACAGGUCCGUUGUGAAAACUCGAGGCUCAACCUCGAGACGUCGAUGGAAACCGUCGGGCUAGAGUCCGGAAGAGGAGAGUGGAAUUCCUGGUGUAGGGGUGAAAUCCGUAGAUAUCAGGAGGAACAUCAGUGGCGAAGGCGGCCAUCUGGCUCGUUUCUGACGCUCAGGUGCGAAAGCGUGGGGAGCAAACAGG
Molecule: ribosomal RNA, 253 nt
Filed under: uncultured bacterium
Lineage: Bacteria
Description: partial 16S ribosomal RNA
Rfam family: Bacterial small subunit ribosomal RNA
Source: RNAcentral